This 539-nucleotide ribosomal RNA is filed under the name uncultured Polaribacter sp. Its description in RNAcentral is "bacterial SSU rRNA". It matches the Rfam family "Bacterial small subunit ribosomal RNA", at positions 74 to 611 of the family's 1533-position model. Lineage: Bacteria; Pseudomonadati; Bacteroidota; Flavobacteriia; Flavobacteriales; Flavobacteriaceae. The record is from RNAcentral.
UUGUGCUUGCACAGAUGACGACCGGCGCACGGGUGCGUAACGCGUAUAGAACCUACCUUUUACAGAGGAAUAGCCUUUAGAAAUGAAGAUUAAUGCCUCAUAGUAUUGUAGACUGGCAUCAGUUUAUAAUUAAAGAUUUAUCGGUAAAAGAUGGCUAUGCGUCCUAUUAGUUAGUUGGUAAGGUAACGGCUUACCAAGACAGCGAUAGGUAGGGGUCCUGAGAGGGAGAUCCCCCACACUGGUACUGAGACACGGACCAGACUCCUACGGGAGGCAGCAGUGAGGAAUAUUGGACAAUGGAGGCAACUCUGAUCCAGCCAUGCCGCGUGCAGGAAGACUGCCCUAUGGGUUGUAAACUGCUUUUAUACAGGAAGAAACACCUCUACGUGUAGAGGCUUGACGGUACUGUAAGAAUAAGGAUCGGCUAACUCCGUGCCAGCAGCCGCGGUAAUACGGAGGAUCCAAGCGUUAUCCGGAAUCAUUGGGUUUAAAGGGUCCGUAGGUGGAUAAUUAAGUCAGAGGUGAAAUCUUGCAGCUCA